Non-coding RNA from Zonotrichia albicollis (white-throated sparrow), 293 nucleotides. The record is from RefSeq and is a predicted model, not a curated record. Lineage: Eukaryota; Metazoa; Chordata; Aves; Passeriformes; Passerellidae.
ACACCAGAAUGGAAAAUUGUCCCAAGAUUCUCAUUCUGGGUCUCAUUCUCUGAUUCUGAUUCCAGUGUUAAUGCAGCAGGUGAGAAAAAUAAAUUUACACCAGAAUGGAAGAGAAAAUUGUCCCAAGAUUCUCAUUCUGGGUCUCAUUCUCUGAUUUUGGAUUCUCAUUCUGGGUUUCAUUCUCUGAUUUUGAUUCCAGUGUUAAUGCAGCAGGUCAGAAAAAUAAAUCCUGACACCAGAAUGGAAGAGAAAAGUGACCUCCACCUCACUGCCUGCAGAAUCCCAGCCAAACC